This is a long non-coding RNA of Boleophthalmus pectinirostris (great blue-spotted mudskipper), 945 nucleotides long. RefSeq lists it as uncharacterized. The record is from RefSeq and is a predicted model, not a curated record. Lineage: Eukaryota; Metazoa; Chordata; Actinopteri; Gobiiformes; Gobiidae. The transcript is spliced from 3 exons.
GGCAGGGGGCAGUACUAGCACAGUGUACUCAAACUCUCCUGCGGGUCCAGGUCAUGAAUCGGGUCCAGGUCAUGCAUCUGGUCCAGGUAGCCAAAGAGCAACAGCUUACCUCAAAAUAAAUGUUCAAACCGCUUCAGGGGAAAAUCAGGAAACCAUUCUCAACAGCAUAUCUAAUUUUGUUUCCCAGAAUCUUCUCCAGAUGUGUGAAAAUUGCACUUUUACAGUGAGACCCUCAAAAACAACAUCAGCACAGGGCUCUCCUUAAAAAUAACAAUAGGAAACCUUACUUUUUUUCCUAAGAUGGCUGUAGGUUCCAGAGUCAUACAAAUGUAGCACAAUGGACUGAAUUCAAAAUUAAAUGUCUUCUGAAUGAGCAAAAGUUUUCAAAAAAGCAACAGGAAGCUGAGACCCAUGUAUGCUUAUUCUGAACGCUCAAAUGGAUUUUUUGUGAAUUACACGAAAACUAAUUACAGCGAUAUAUGGUUUCAGCAGACAGUAACAUUGCUGUUUUAUAGGCUCUAUUCACACUUAUGUCAACCGGAAGACAUUUGAAAACAUGUGGAUGACGACUUCCUUUGGGCUCUGUUGGCGAUUGUAACUCUAUCUAUAAAUUCUGGGAAAACUGAGAAAAUGACCCGGUUUUCUUCAUCUAGAUGUCAUUGUAUUCUUUCUUUUUUCCUUUUAUAAACUGCCUAUUAAUUUGCGUAUUAUAAUAUGUUUCAUGAAAAAAAAAGAUGUCAUUGUAGCAUUCUUUUAUGUUCGGCAGAUCAACAGUUACAACCAGCUGCCUGAAAGUGACAUCAAGCUGUGAUUAGAAUCACAUCCCCCUUGCAUGGAAAGCUUUGGCAGAUUGUGAAGAGCUCUGUUGCUAAAUCCAUGGUUUUACAACAUGCAGUUAUAAUAUGGUUUUCUUUGUAAAUAAAAAGUUUUCACUCUUUAUACUGA